UGGUGAGGUAAAGGCUCACCAAGGCAGUGAUACGUAGCCGACCUGAGAGGGUAAUCGGCCACAUUGGGACUGAGACACGGCCCAGACUCCUACGGGAGGCAGCAGUAGGGAAUCUUCCACAAUGGACGCAAGUCUGAUGGAGCAACGCCGCGUGAGUGAAGAAGGGUUUCGGCUCGUAAAGCUCUGUUGUUAAAGAAGAACGUGGGUAAGAGUAACUGUUUACCCAGUGACGGUAUUUAACCAGAAAGCCACGGCUAACUAC
Molecule: ribosomal RNA, 262 nt
Filed under: uncultured bacterium
Lineage: Bacteria
Description: partial 16S ribosomal RNA
Rfam family: Bacterial small subunit ribosomal RNA
Source: RNAcentral